This 273-nucleotide unclassified non-coding RNA is filed under the name Hevea brasiliensis (rubber tree). The record is from RNAcentral. Lineage: Eukaryota; Viridiplantae; Streptophyta; Magnoliopsida; Malpighiales; Euphorbiaceae.
GGAAAGAAUCAAAUAACCUUAAAAAAAUACAAGUCUUUUUGAUGAAUUCAAGAUUUUGUUUCCAGAGAGAAUUUUGUUUUCUGCUAAAUACAAGAGAAGAUUGAAGAUAUCACCUCUGAGAGUUUUGGGUGCUUCUUAUAUAGGGCUGGUUUCUUGGAGAUAACUACUUGAACUUGCCCUCCCGCAAUAUUGUAGAUCACAGUUUGUUGGCAACACGUGGGAAGUGUCUCUAUUCCUACUCAUAGUCUAUGUGAUCAUGUUUUUUUUCCCUUG